AUUGAACGCUGGCGGCAGGCCUAACACAUGCAAGUCGAACGGUAACAGGAAGAAGCUUGCUUCUUUGCUGACGAGUGGCGGACGGGUGAGUAAUGUCUGGGAAACUGCCUGAUGGAGGGGGAUAACUACUGGAAACGGUAGCUAAUACCGCAUAAUGUCGCAAGCCCAAAGAGGGGGACCUUCGGGCCUCUUGUCAUCGGAUGUGCCCAGAUGGGAUUCGCUAGUAGGUGGGGUAACGGCUCACCUAGGCGACGAUCCGUAGCUGGUCUGAGAGGAUGACCGGCCACACGGGAACUGAGACACGGUCCAGACUCCUACGGGAGGCAGCAGUGGGGAAUAUUGCACAGUGGGCGCAAGCCUGAUGCAGCUAUGCCGCGUGUAUGAAGAAGGCCUUCGGGUUGUAAAGUACUUUCAGCGGGGAGGAAGGGAGUAAAGUUAAUACCUUUGCUCAUUGACGUUACCCGCAGAAGAAGCACCGGCUAACUCCGUG
This 490-nucleotide ribosomal RNA is filed under the name uncultured bacterium. Its description in RNAcentral is "partial 16S ribosomal RNA". It matches the Rfam family "Bacterial small subunit ribosomal RNA", at positions 30 to 507 of the family's 1533-position model. The record is from RNAcentral.